RNAcentral lists this microRNA (23 nucleotides) under Haemonchus contortus (barber pole worm). Its description in RNAcentral is "hco-miR-5981". The record is from miRBase by way of RNAcentral. Lineage: Eukaryota; Metazoa; Nematoda; Chromadorea; Rhabditida; Trichostrongylidae.
UGUUUACAAAAUUAGGACCCUGC